GGGUCCAGCCGCCCCCCCAUGACCCUGUAAAAUGGAUGGAUGCAAUACUUGUUCUUGUUCUUCUCUAUCUAUGUAACGGCUGCCAUUGCCAUGGGAAAUCCUGCCUUUCCUCAAAGGAAAAAAAGACAACAAGCAGGAAAAGAUCCCUCACCAAUCCGGUGGUCACAAACCGAGUGAACAGCGAGAAACAUCGAGAACCACAAUGCCCUCAAUCAGAUGAAAAAAGACAGUGGACGACGUCCCAGUAAAAGACAUCAUCAGCUGUCCUCAUGUGGCUGUCAGCUAUAUGUCCAGCCUCUUCUAUGUGCUGAACAUCAUGCACCCUAGGGGAGCAGCACUGAUUCUAGAGUUUACCCAAAUAUAUGUUUUGACAAUGUUCUUUGUCCAUUUA
Perca flavescens (yellow perch) is the source of this 391-nucleotide long non-coding RNA. RefSeq lists it as uncharacterized. Lineage: Eukaryota; Metazoa; Chordata; Actinopteri; Perciformes; Percidae. The transcript is spliced from 3 exons. The record is from RefSeq and is a predicted model, not a curated record.